This 303-nucleotide ribosomal RNA is filed under the name uncultured bacterium. RNAcentral describes it as "partial 16S ribosomal RNA". It matches the Rfam family "Bacterial small subunit ribosomal RNA", at positions 507 to 809 of the family's 1533-position model. The record is from RNAcentral.
AGCAGUCGCCACGGGAAUACAGAGGGUGCAAGCGUUAAUCGGAAUUACUGGGCGUAAAGCGCGCGUAGGUGGUUUGUUAAGUUGGAUGUGAAAUCCCCGGGCUCAACCUGGGAACUGCAUCCAAAACUGGCAAGCUAGAGUAUGGUAGAGGGUGGUGGAAUUUCCUGUGUAGCGGUGAAAUGCGUAGAUAUAGGAAGGAACACCAGUGGCGAAGGCGACCACCUGGACUGAUACUGACACUGAGGUGCGAAAGCGUGGGGAGCAAACAGGAUUAGAUACCCCCGUAGUCCCUGUCUCUGAUAC